This 520-nucleotide unclassified non-coding RNA is filed under the name uncultured Entrophospora. RNAcentral describes it as "SSU rRNA". It matches the Rfam family "Eukaryotic small subunit ribosomal RNA", at positions 569 to 1083 of the family's 1831-position model. Lineage: Eukaryota; Fungi; Glomeromycota; Glomeromycetes; Entrophosporales; Entrophosporaceae. The record is from RNAcentral.
AGCAGCCGCGGUAAUUCCAGCUCCAAUAGCGUAUAUUAAAGUUGUUGCAGUUAAAAAGCUCGUAGUUGAAUUUCGGGAUUGACACAUCGGUCGUGCCUUAAGGGGUAUGAACUGGUGUAGUCAAUUUCUCACCUUCUGGAGAACCGCGAUGCCCUUAAUUGGGUGCCGCGGGGAACCAGGACCUUUACUUUGAAAAAAUUUAGAGUGUUUAAAGCAGGCAUUUUGCUUGAAUACAUUAGCAUGGAAUAAUAAAAUAGGACGGCAUGAUUCUAUUUUGUUGGUCUCUAGGAUCACCGUAAUGAUUAAUAGGGAUAGUUGGGGGCAUUAGUAUUCAAUUGUCAGAGGUGAAAUUCUUGGAUUUAUUGAAGACUAACUACUGCGAAAGCAUUUGCCAAGGAUGUUUUCAUUAAUCAAGAACGAAAGUUAGGGGAUCGAAGACGAUCAGAUACCGUCGUAGUCUUAACCAUAAACUAUGCCGACUAGGAAUCAGACGAUGUUAAUUUUUUAAUGGCUCGUUUGG